GGCGGCGUGCUUAACACAUGCAAGUCGAACGGAAAGGCCCUGCUUUUGUGGGGUGCUCGAGUGGCGAACGGGUGAGUAACACGUGAGUAACCUGCCCUUGACUUUGGGAUAACUUCAGGAAACUGGGGCUAAUACCGGAUAGGAGCUCCUGCUGCAUGGUGGGGGUUGGAAAGUUUCGGCGGUUGGGGAUGGACUCGCGGCUUAUCAGCUUGUUGGUGGGGUAGUGGCUUACCAAGGCUUUGACGGGUAGCCGGCCUGAGAGGGUGACCGGCCACAUUGGGACUGAGAUACGGCCCAGACUCCUACGGGAGGCAGCAGUGGGGAAUAUUGCACAAUGGGCGGAAGCCUGAUGCAGCAACGCCGCGUGCGGGAUGACGGCCUUCGGGUUGUAAACCGCUUUCGCCUGUGACGAAGCGUGAGUGACGGUAAUGGGUAAAGAAGCACCGGCUAACUACGUGCCAGCAGCCGCGGUGAUACGUAGGGUGCGAGCGUUGUCCGGAUUUAUUGGGCGUAAAGGGCUCGUAGGUGGUUGAUCGCGUCGGAAGUGUAAUCUUGGGGCUUAACCCUGAGCGUGCUUUCGAUACGGGUUGACUUGAGGAAGGUAGGGGAGAAUGGAAUUCCUGGUGGAGCGGUGGAAUGCGCAGAUAUCAGGAGGAACACCAGUGGCGAAGGCGGUUCUCUGGGCCUUUCCUGACGCUGAGGAGCGAAAGCGUGGGGAGCGAACAGGCUUAGAUACCCCUGGUAGUCCACGCUGUAAACGGUGGGUACUAGGUGUGGGGUCCAUUCCACGGGUUCCGUGCCCGUAGCUAACGCUUUAAGUACCCCGCCUGGGGAGUACGGCCGCAAGGCUAAAACUCAAAGGAAUUGACGGGGCCCCGCACAAGCGGCGGAGCAUGCGGAUUAAUUCGAUGCAACGCGUAGAACCUUACCUGGGUUUGACAUGGAUCGGGAGUGCUCAGAGAUGGGUGUGCCUCUUUUGGGGUCGGUUCACAGGUGGUGCAUGGCUGUCGUCAGCUCGUGUCGUGAGAUGUUGGGUUAAGUCCCGCAACGAGCGCAACCCUUGUUCACUGUUGCCAGCACGUUAUGGUGGGGACUCAGUGGAGACCGCCGGGGUCAACUCGGAGGAAGGUGGGGAUGACGUCAAGUCAUCAUGCCCCUUAUGUCCAGGGCUUCACGCAUGCUACAAUGGCUGGUACAGAGAGUGGCGAGCCUGUGAGGGUGAGCGAAUCUCGGAAAGCCGGUCUCAGUUCGGAUUGGGGUCUGCAACUCGACCUCAUGAAGUCGGAGUCGCUAGUAAUCGCAGAUCAGCAACGCUGCGGUGAAUACGUUCCCGGGGCUUGUACACACCGCCCGUCAAGUCAUGAAAGUUGGUAACACCCGAAGCCGGUGGCCUAACCGUUGUGGGGGAGCCGUCGAAGGUGGGACUGGUGAUUAGGACUAAGU
RNAcentral lists this ribosomal RNA (1443 nucleotides) under uncultured organism. RNAcentral describes it as "16S ribosomal RNA". It matches the Rfam family "Bacterial small subunit ribosomal RNA". The record is from RNAcentral.